CUUACGUCGCCCGAUUCGUCAAUCCCUCCACCCAUCGCGUUCUCUUCCCAAGUUGGUUUUCCGGUGGAAAAAAAAAUUGUAGGUCAGUCAAACGCGAUCUAUCUCUAUCGCUCCCGAACCCACCUCUUCCCCUUCCGAUCUGGUCGCCGCCGAAUCCGGCGUCGCCCCCCACCCCCCACCCCCGCGCUCGGUUCCCGUCCAGAACCUGCCACCUACGACGGAGCGAGGCCGCCGAAGCCGGCGACAAAAGGAUUCGAAGCAGCCGGCCGGAGCUACUUUGACUUCGACGUUGAGGAGGGCGUCGGCCUCAGCUCCUGGCCUCCCAGGGCCCGCCGCCGCUGGGCUCGUACAUGGUCAGGUGCGGGCGACUCGGAGAGGAGCUUUGGCCGUAAGGACUAUACAGCUUAGUUUCUCCUGGGAUCACGUUCUCCGGACGUCCAUUGAGUUUCCGAGCAAAGUCCGGGCCUCCAGGUUUAUCUACACAUCCACGUAAUAAGGCAACUGUGUAACAAUUAUCAAGCCUGGUUGAGAAGAAGAGAAUGCAAAAGAUCAAUUUAUCUUCAUGAGUAGGAAAGUAUUAAUCAAUCUCUAGAUAAAGUAAUGAGAUCAAUUCCUCAGAAUGCAGGCCGAGGCUGCUAGCUUGUACAUGGAUUCCUAGAUGCCGUACUAAUGAAGAAGAUAGCAAGCCGUCGAUUGCUGCAACAGGGCGGCAGGGAAGAUCCGAGUCAGCCGACGGUUGUCAAGGCAACAGUAACCUUCUAAAGGACCUUCCUAUAGUCUCCUGCCAAUGCCGGAUUAGAUCGAGGUCGCGGUGGAUUGGGUGAAUCGCGCGUACCUAGGUAUAGCCUCAUGACGCGAGGAGAACUCGUCACACUCGGCAGCCCCAAGCAGCGGUCCAAAACAUAUUAAAGUUCCAUGGAUCAAGAAGGUAUAGCAAUAGUACUGUCACACCUGUACAACUACUUGGUGGAACAAUUUUCAUUGCAGUUUUGCCAGAACUGAUGCUAAGUCAUGGCAGGUUGUUUCUGGCGGUAGUGUUUUCAUCUGAUAUCAUUGAUAUUUUAUUUACUGAAUAACCUUUCAAGAAUCA
Long non-coding RNA from Triticum aestivum (bread wheat), 1090 nucleotides. RefSeq lists it as uncharacterized. Lineage: Eukaryota; Viridiplantae; Streptophyta; Magnoliopsida; Poales; Poaceae. The transcript has 2 exons. The record is from RefSeq and is a predicted model, not a curated record.